Molecule: long non-coding RNA, 538 nt
Filed under: Daphnia magna
Lineage: Eukaryota; Metazoa; Arthropoda; Branchiopoda; Diplostraca; Daphniidae
Description: uncharacterized LOC123470144
Source: RNAcentral
GCUGGUUGCCGAAUCCUAGGCAGUGAAUUCGCUUUAGUUUGCGUAACCUUACAACUGUCAAUGCGUUGCAGUCAGUGCAGAAGGUUGUAUAACAGUAAUUAAACAUAGUAAACAUGCUGCCAGAACGGAGACUAUGGAGAAGAAAGUUACACAGCGGCGACAAGAUAAAUUAUUUUUGAUGCUAUAUUCACAUGUAUGUGUGUGAUAGCUCAGCGAUUCAGCACAAAAUUUGUCAUUUUGUCCUCUUUUAACUGAUCAAAAGGGUAUAGCUCAGUGGUAUAGCAUUCUACUGCAGAUCGAGAUGUACUGAUUUCAAACCUGGGUGCCCCCUUGUGCUUAUUAUUAAUGUAAUAAAUGACAUUAAGUGAAUGAACUUACGGAUCAUGGAAUUUCCAAGACUUUGUAUAUUCAAGAAAUACUUAAUCAAUUGAUUUAUUUCUGAAAUUGUACGUACGGUUAUUGAAGCACACCAUGUUUCUCAUUUAGAUCUAAUUUCUUUUCUACCAAGAAACCAAAUUAGCUGUUGUGUAAAGUCUGU